UGCUGUUACUUUCACUACAUGGACCUUUGUAUAAUUUAUAUAUACAUAUACUAUAUCUACUGCUAUAUCUACAUCUCUCCACAAAAACCCUUGUUUUACUUUCACCCAAAACAAAACAUGCGACCACACCUCCACCCCAUCGUCGCCAUAAGUACGGGCAUCACUGUCCGCCACGCGGCAGUGAAUCCGCCGCCGCCGAAAAACACAACUCCUAAACUCACCACCUCUCUUUACCAAACUCAAAUAGGCCUUUUUGCUCUUAUGUGGUGUAAGAAUAUACGAGAGAGGCUUAGAUUUGGGAGGUGUAGUCUAUAAAUCGGAGGAGUGUAUGAGAAGAUGGAUGAUGAGAGGAAGGGCAAAGCUGUAAAAGGGCAUCUAAGGCCUCAUCUUGGGUGGCCUAUUUGGAAGUAUUUAGACCAGAGGAAAUGGGGAGGCAAAUCCCGACUAUGGAGACAUUGGUGGGGAAGGCGAAGUCGGAAGUAUUGGGGAUAGAGUAGGUGGUGAUGGCAAAAUUUUGAAGAUUUUAGUGGAGGGGAUCAAGACAAAUGGUGAUAGCAGGGGAGUGGUGUAAAUAAUAUGGGUAUCUGAUUAAGUUUAUGUAAAUUGAAGUUGUUAUUCUUUGAUGGAUUGGUGGAAUUGUUUCUUCACUUCAUUGUAGUUCAUAUUAAGCUCAACUGUGAAAUUUUUCAAUAUUUGGAAACUGAUUAAAUAUGUUUUGUCCAUUUUGCCCUCAAAGAAAUUAACAGAGUUACACCAAUUUGACGGACAUACACAGUUUGCAAUUAUUUCAAAAAGCUGAUAUUGCAAAUGCUCGAUUUUAAACAACAAUAUUAAAAGUGGUGUCUCGAGUAAAGUGUAGGUACACAAAAUGUACUUUACUCUUUAUUUUUUAGUGAAUGUUUAACAUAUGUAUUGAAGCUCAUUCUACCAAAAACCCUUGUCUGUCAUUUUGUUGCUCUCUUUCCGCCAUGGCCAGUUCCACUCUCAUCCCCCGGUUCUUGAAGUAUGUUUGCCGCGACGACUCCUCUUCUGAUGAAAUGGUAAGCUUUUAUUUGUUGUUUGAAUGUUAUUCGAUUGUGAUAUAUUUAUUCGCCCAUGUAUAUUAAGCAUUGGAGGGUAUGAAUGGAAUUGUUUAGUAAAAUGCAUGAAUCAAUUACUGUAUCUUGUACAUCAUAUAGCCUGGUGUUUUUUGUUAUAUACAUCUUUACGGGUGGGUGCCCUGUUUUUCUCUUGCAGAAGGUUCCACAAAAAUUCACUAAUGAGUACAGCCAGCGCUUGAAUGAGAUGUGGCUUAGAGCAAGUCCAACACUAUGCUAAAAGGUUCCCUAAAAAUAUUAUUAAAUAAUAUGUCUUAGUGAUUUAGCACAAGAUUUAGCACAUGAGCUCCAAUAGUACUCCCUAUAUCCAUUCCCUAUUAUUAUAAUAAUAUUAAAUUUAAACACUUUGGGAUGUUGUGAAAAGGGAAAUGAUGUGGAGGAGGGAGGGAAAUGAAUAUUUUAAUAAUAAAAAUAGUUUAGAAGUGGCUAGCAUAUUCUAAAAAUAGGGAAGGGGAGGCUUGUGCUAGUGAUUUAGCACAUCACUAGCAUAGUGUUGGAGUGCAAUUUUAUCCCAUAUUCCCUAUUUUUGGAUUUAAGACUUGAUUUAGCACACCUAUUGGACUUGCUCUUAUAACCAUUUGUUAU
Molecule: long non-coding RNA, 1682 nt
Filed under: Daucus carota (carrot)
Lineage: Eukaryota; Viridiplantae; Streptophyta; Magnoliopsida; Apiales; Apiaceae
Description: long non-coding RNA (DCAR_LNC001469)
Source: RNAcentral